RNAcentral lists this ribosomal RNA (253 nucleotides) under uncultured bacterium. RNAcentral describes it as "partial 16S ribosomal RNA". It matches the Rfam family "Bacterial small subunit ribosomal RNA", at positions 524 to 776 of the family's 1533-position model. The record is from RNAcentral.
UACGUAGGGGGCAAGCGUUAUCCGGAAUUAUUGGGCGUAAAGAGCUCGUAGGCGGUUUGUCGCGUCUGCUGUGAAAACUCGGGGCUUAACCCCGGGCCUGCAGUGGGUACGGGCAGACUAGAGUGCGGUAGGGGAGACUGGAAUUCCUGGUGUAGCGGUGAAAUGCGCAGAUAUCAGGAGGAACACCGGUGGCGAAGGCGGGUCUCUGGGCCGAUACUGACGCUGAGGAGCGAAAGCGUGGGGAGCGAACAGG